CUUCGAUUAAGGUUCGAUUCGAGCGCAGCGAGAAAGCGUUGCCGCAGGCAACGACCCGAAGGGCGAAGCGCGCAGCGCUGAGUCAUCCUUCCCCCACCACCA
Molecule: small RNA, 102 nt
Filed under: Salmonella enterica
Lineage: Bacteria; Pseudomonadati; Pseudomonadota; Gammaproteobacteria; Enterobacterales; Enterobacteriaceae
Also listed under: 1 other name
Description: partial RtT sRNA
Rfam family: RtT RNA
About the family: This family represents a bacterial cis-regulatory element known as RtT RNA. The exact function of RtT is unknown although it is thought that it may be involved in changing the cellular response in relation to amino acid starvation.
Source: RNAcentral